AGAGUUUGAUCCUGGCUCAGGACGAACGCUGGCGGCGUGCUUAACACAUGCAAGUCGAACGGUGAUAUCGGGGCUUGCCCUGGUUGAUCAGUGGCGAACGGGUGAGUAACACGUGAGUAACCUGCCCCAGACUCUGGGAUAACCCCGGGAAACCGGAGCUAAUACCGGAUAUGACCCUUGCAGGUAUCUGUGGGGGUGGAAAGUUUUUCGGUCUGGGAUGGACUCGCGGCCUAUCAGCUUGUUGGUGAGGUAAGGGCUCACCAAGGCGACGAUGGGUAGCCGGCCUGAGAGGGUGACCGGCCACACUGGGACUGAGACACGGCCCAGACUCCUACGGGAGGCAGCAGUGGGGAAUAUUGCACAAUGGGCGCAAGCCUGAUGCAGCGACGCCGCGUGAGGGAUGACGGCCUUCGGGUUGUAAACCUCUUUCAGCAGGGAAGAAGCGCAAGUGACGGUACCUGCAGAAGAAGCACCGGCUAACUACGUGCCAGCAGCCGCGGUAAUACGUAGGGUGCGAGCGUUGUCCGGAAUUAUUGGGCGUAAAGAGCUUGUAGGCGGUUUGUCGCGUCUGCUGUGAAAAUCCGGGGCUCAACCCCGGACUUGCAGUGGGUACGGGCAGACUAGAGUGUGGUAGGGGAGACUGGAAUUCCUGGUGUAGCGGUGGAAUGCGCAGAUAUCAGGAGGAACACCGAUGGCGAAGGCAGGUCUCUGGGCCACUACUGACGCUGAGAAGCGAAAGCAUGGGGAGCGAACAGGAUUAGAUACCCUGGUAGUCCAUGCCGUAAACGUUGGGAACUAGGUGUGGGUCUCAUUCCACGAGGUCCGUGCCGCAGCUAACGCAUUAAGUUCCCCGCCUGGGGAGUACGGCCGCAAGGCUAAAACUCAAAGGAAUUGACGG
This 898-nucleotide ribosomal RNA is filed under the name uncultured bacterium. RNAcentral's name for it is "bacterial SSU rRNA". It matches the Rfam family "Bacterial small subunit ribosomal RNA", at positions 8 to 916 of the family's 1533-position model. The record is from RNAcentral.